This 87-nucleotide transfer RNA is filed under the name Garcinia mangostana. Its description in RNAcentral is "tRNA-Asn". The stretch from base 6 to 63 matches the Rfam family "tRNA", at positions 7 to 64 of the family's 71-position model. From Rfam's summary of the family: Transfer RNA (tRNA) molecules are approximately 80 nucleotides in length. Their secondary structure includes four short double-helical elements and three loops (D, anti-codon, and T loops). Further hydrogen bonds mediate the characteristic L-shaped molecular structure. tRNAs have two regions of fundamental functional importance: the anti-codon, which is responsible for specific mRNA codon recognition, and the 3' end, to which the tRNAs corresponding amino acid is attached (by aminoacyl-tRNA synthetases). tRNAs cope with the degeneracy of the genetic code in two manners: having more than one tRNA (with a specific anti-codon) for a particular amino acid; and 'wobble' base-pairing, i.e. permitting non-standard base-pairing at the 3rd anti-codon position. Lineage: Eukaryota; Viridiplantae; Streptophyta; Magnoliopsida; Malpighiales; Clusiaceae. The record is from RNAcentral.
GCUCAGUAGCUCAGUGGUAGAGCGGUCGGCUGUUAACUGACUGGCAACAAUUAGAAUUGGUUCGAAUCCGACCUACUUGAGAUUCCA